This is a long non-coding RNA of Fundulus heteroclitus (mummichog), 416 nucleotides long. RefSeq lists it as uncharacterized. The transcript is spliced from 3 exons. The record is from RefSeq and is a predicted model, not a curated record. Lineage: Eukaryota; Metazoa; Chordata; Actinopteri; Cyprinodontiformes; Fundulidae.
ACAAGGAACCUCCUUGCCAAAAGAUUUCUAAGAAUUUUGUGGAGAGUAAGCCAGUCACAGCAACGACUGGGGAAAAUAUCACUCUGCAAUGCAUCACAAAGUUUAAAUUACAAGAGAGUGAUAUUGUGGAGUGGAGUAAAGGCAAUGAUGAAAUCUUCACUGUGACGGAGAAUAAACAACGAAUACAAAACAAAGCGUAUGAACAUCGACUCUGUCUUUCCUUUCCUGGAGAACUUGGUAGAAAUGUUGCCUCGAUCAACAUUUCACAAGUGAAGGAAACAGAUGACGGAAUUUACUGCUGCUGCAUUAGAUCAGCAGAGGUACAGUGCAUCAACCAGACUCUUGUUGUGAGGAACAAAUCUUUAACAACCCCAGAUCCACUUCACCAAGCAGGAGUAUCAAAUAAUAACUCUUCA